AUCGGUUUUAGUUUUGUCGAUGACAAAAUAUACGUCACAUUUUUACGUCACGGAGGCAGAAGAUCGAACUGCAGGAUUUAGCAGAGGCAUGCACUGGCUGCUUGACAUAUCCCUGGAAGAGGACACCAACUAGCUAACACAGUCAAUGACAGAUGCCUCUUUGAAUUGAUAAAAUCAUAAUCAAAUGGAUAUAAUACAAAAAUUUCAAAGAUCUGUUUUGAUGUAGCCUGAAGAUUUUGUAAUGAAUGAUCCAGGAUCCAAAAGUUCUUCGCGGAGUUCAAAGACAGUUGCAAUGUGGUUGCUAAUUUAGUGACAGAUUAAGAAAGAAGUUCAAACAAGCAUUGUCAUGGGAAAACAUGAAAAAGGAAGAAGUUGGAGGUGGACAAAAAUCAGGAUGAAUAUACUAGAGAAACUAUUAAAGCACAGAAGAAUGACAACAAUAUAAAUCUAAAUGUAAUCAUUCAAGGAAUUAAAAUUCAUUUUUAAUCUCGAAAUUGUCUUUUUUCUGUA
Magallana angulata is the source of this 510-nucleotide long non-coding RNA. RefSeq lists it as uncharacterized. The record is from RefSeq and is a predicted model, not a curated record. NCBI's taxonomy places the organism in Eukaryota, Metazoa, Mollusca, Bivalvia, Ostreida, Ostreidae. The transcript has 5 exons.